This 86-nucleotide transfer RNA is filed under the name Bacteroidetes bacterium RIFOXYC2_FULL_40_12. RNAcentral's name for it is "tRNA-Tyr". It matches the Rfam family "tRNA". Rfam says of the family: Transfer RNA (tRNA) molecules are approximately 80 nucleotides in length. Their secondary structure includes four short double-helical elements and three loops (D, anti-codon, and T loops). RNAcentral also lists the same sequence under 3 other names. The record is from RNAcentral. Lineage: Bacteria; Pseudomonadati; Bacteroidota.
GGGUCGGUACCAAAGCGGUCAACUGGGGCAGGCUGUAAACCUGCUGGCAAUAGCCUUCGGCGGUUCGAAUCCGUCCCGGCCCACCA